This is a non-coding RNA of Meleagris gallopavo (turkey), 328 nucleotides long. Lineage: Eukaryota; Metazoa; Chordata; Aves; Galliformes; Phasianidae. The record is from RefSeq and is a predicted model, not a curated record.
UCACCCCAAAAUGGGGAGGGGGGGAGGUAAUGAGAGGCUGUCUUUUUUAAUUAAUGGGUGUUUUUUAAUUAAUGUUGUUAAUUGUGACCGAUUUUGGAGGGUUUGGGGUGGGGGUGUGCAGCUCCCUUCCCCUCCCCGCCCUCCGUGCUAAUUAACGCUCUGUGUUAAUUUCUUGCAUGUGCUGAAAGGACCCCGGGACCAAGGGCCGAGGCAUGACCCUGGUGAGCAGGACAACUCGGACAACAACACCAUCUUCGUGCAAGGCCUGGGGGAGAACGUCACCAUCGAGUCGGUGGCCGACUACUUCAAGCAGAUCGGCAUCAUUAAG